UUCCGUAUUCUGCCAGUGGGCAUACGCUCUUUUUAAAGAUUUAGCCAUGCAUGUGCCAGUUCAUACAUUAAAAAUGUGAGACUGCGGACGGCUCAGUAUAUCAGUUAUAAUCUGCUCGAUUGUUAAGGUUAUUGGAUAACCGUGGGAAAUCUAGAGCUAAUACAUGCAGUUUGCGGUGGUUGCUUUCGGGCGACUGGCGUGGCAUUUAUUAGAGAAUACCAAUGGCACGUACGAGAGAUCGUGCGAGCGGGGUGAAUCUAGAUAACUGUGCAGAUCGCAUGGCCUUGAGCCGGCGACAUUUCGAUUGAGUUUCUGCCCUAUCACCUAGAUGCAAGUGUAUUGUACUUGCAUGGGGGUCACGGGUGACGGAGGAUCAGGGUUCGAUCCCGGAGAGGGAGCCUGAGAAACGGCUACCACAUCCAAGGAAGGCAGCAGGCGCGCAAAUUACCCAAUCCAGACAAUGGGAGGUGGUGACGAAAAGUACCGAAUAACGCCAAAUGGUUGUUAGUUCAGAAUGGGAAUCAAUUUAAGCAAUUGAUUGAGUAACGACUGGAGGGCAAGUCUGGUGCCAGCAGCCGCGGUAAUUCCAGCUCCAGUAGCGUAUCUCAAAGUUGCUGCGCUUAAAACGCUCGUAGUUGGAUCAUUAACUGUGUGUGGGGUAAGUUGGAACGAUGUUUGCCCUACACCGACAUGGCCGCGUUGCAUGUUCUCAUGUUUCGUGACAUGUUGGUUGGCGGAACGCGUAACAACACAUAACCGACAUGCAGUAAUUGCGCGUGGGGAUGGCCUUUGACCUUAAGUGCGUUGAGGGCCGUGUCUCACGGGAUGUGCCUUGAGUAAAUCAGAGUGCUCAAAGCAGGCAUUGCGCUGAAUGUUGAUAGCAUGGAACGAACAAUCGUGUACAGUGCGCGCUGAUAUCGGUGCUGGUGUGUGCUGGCGUGCAAAAGUCGCGUCGCCCCAGUGCUGCAGUGCGCGACACCGACCACCAUGUACGGAUGUUGGUUCCGUAUUGGGGUACUGAUUAAGAGGAGCGGUUGGGGGCAUUGGUAUUUGGCAGCGAGAGGUGAAAUUCUUGGACCUGCCAAGGACUAACAAAUGCGAAGGCAUCUGUCCAGACCGUAUCCAUUAAUCAAGAACGAUAGUGAGAGGUUCGAAGACGAUCAGAUACCGUCCUAGUUCUCACUGUAAACUAUGCCGACCCGGGAUCAGCUUGGAGUUAUAUACUCAUGCUCGAGGUUGGUCCCCCUGGGAAACCUGAAGUUUUUCGGUUGCGGGGGGAGUAUGGUCGCAAGGCUGAAACUUUAAAGGAAUUGACGGAAGGGCACCACCCAAGGGUGGAGCCUGCGGCUUAAUUUGACUCAACACGGGGAAACUUACCUGGUCCGGACAUCCGAAGGAUACUCAGACCUAAGAUCUUAUUUGAUCUGGUGAUUGGUGGUGCAUGGCCGUUCUUAGUUCGUGAAGUGAUUUGUCAGGUUUAUUCCGGUAACGGACGAGACUGCGUUCUCCAUUUGACGAGCUGAAGUUUGUGCGUUCGCACACAGUCAUUGGCAACGGUGACUGCGUUGUGACCGUAUGGCUGCCGGUGGUGGUGGGCGUUGUUGUGCGGCUCAAGGUUACCUUUCGGGGUGCCUUCAGUCGUAAGGAUGGCGUCGCAUGCUGCUGGCAAGCCUUCAGCCAGACAGUGCUUCGUUUGGAGUGCUGUAUCAUGGAGAGACAACGGAACAUAUUACAAAAUCCGAGGAAGUGUGGCUAUAACAGGUCUGUGAUGCCCUUAGAUGUUCAGGGCUGCACGCGCGCUACAAUGGCAGCGACAGCGAGUGUUUGAAUCGAAAGAUUCGGGUAAUCUUGUAAUCGUUGCCGUGAUGGGGAUUGACGUUUGUAACUCCUCAUGAAAGAGGAAUCCCUAGUAUGUGCGAUUCAUGAGAUCCCCAAAUUACGUCCCUGCCCUUUGACACACCCCCGU
Molecule: ribosomal RNA, 1966 nt
Filed under: Henneguya lesteri
Lineage: Eukaryota; Metazoa; Cnidaria; Myxozoa; Bivalvulida; Myxobolidae
Description: SSU rRNA
Rfam family: Eukaryotic small subunit ribosomal RNA
Source: RNAcentral